GUAAGGUUUAUGACCCCCCCCCCCAAAAAAAUACCUUUCUCCCUUCCCCUCUCUGACCCUACUGAAGGACUUGAAUAGCCUGUGUUAAAUAUAGAGAGUCUGGGAACAUCAAACAAAUGGGGAAAAGGAACCAUAUUUUGGUAAUAAAACCAGUUGGAAAUAUGCUUGGGAACGUAAUGAGUAUGCAUGUCAGUUCGGUUGUCAUCUGAGACAUUAUGACUGAUGACAGGACGACAUAAACUGUACCUGAGAAAGUAUACACCCUCUAGUUAUCAGAGUAACAUGGAAUUGUUAUGCAAUUGAAAUGUUUGAUAUUGAAAUUGUUUGUUAGGAGAUUAAAUGUAAUUUUAGCUUCCAAAUGAGAGAUUUGGGUUUUCAUAAGGAAAGUGCCCUGCUUGAUCAGUGGCCCACCCCUGUGAAGAGGAGGGGUUAUAAACGAUGAAACACAUCCUUCCCCCUCUCCACUAUAUAAGCCUUUGACAAAAAGAUAACCACGUGGUUCCAGUACGUGAGGUCUGCAGCCUCUACGUUAGAAGGACACACGUCAAGUACAGAACUAAGCCAACCUUGGCGUGAGCUUUGGUGGCGAAUGGUAUGAACUUUGAGCUUAUUCACUACAGAAGUGAUACUUCCUAGUCGUUGAGUUAGCAGCGGCCGCUGUAGACGGGGGCUAGGAAAGGACGGACGACGGAUCCAGUCUAACAAACAGACGAAGAUACCACCACGUAUCCAAUUUACCACCAGAGACAUUCUUCCGAGGACAGGAAGAUCUGUUGGCCAACCCGGCCAGCAUCUACGACCAAUCUACCGAAGCGCAGCUCAGAUUACUGCCCAGAUAUUCCAGUCUGGACGACCAGAUGACGGGUCCGCAACGGCGAUCCCAAUCCGGACAUCCGCUGCCGAGUCAUGGAACGGACUUCUUUAUUUGCAGAGACCCUACCCGGGUCGACCACCAGAGGGGGGACUGCAAUAGCAACCACCAACUGGACAUCUUCUGCCCAGCCUUGGAGCGGACUUCUUCAUUUGCAGACACCCUACCCGGGUCGACCGCCAGAUGGGGACCACAACGAUGAUCCACAACCAGGACAACCCACGUUCAUUUUUAUGUUGGUUUACAACAUGCAGUUUAAUCGCAAGAUUGAACCCAACAUGGGGGGACUGUCAUGACGUUGGCCUGUGGGUAAGGUUUAUGACCCCCCCCCCCCAUAAAUACCUUUCUCCCUUCCCCUCUCUGACCGUACUGAAGGACUUGAAUAGCCUGUGUUAAAUAUAGAGAUUCUGGGAACAUCAAACAAAUGGGGAAAAGGAACCAUAUUUUGGUAAUAAAACCAGUUGGAAAUAUGCUUGGGAACGUAAUGAGUAUGUAUGUCAGUUCGGUUGUCAUCUGAGACAUUAUGACUGAUGACAGGACGACAUAAACUGUACCUGAGAAAGUAUACAGCCUCUAGUUAUCAGAGUAACAUGGAAUUGUUAUGCAAUUGAAAUGUUUGAUAUUGAAAUUGUUUGUUAGGAGAUUAAAUGUAAUUUUAGCUUCCAAAUGAGAUUUUUGGGUUUUCAUAAGGAAAGUGCCCUGCUUGAUCAGUGGCCCACCCCUGUGAAGAGGAGGGGUUAUAAACGAUGAAACACAUCCUUCCCCCUCUCCACUAUAUAAGCCUUUGACGAAAAGAUAACCACGUGGUUCCAGUACGUGAGGUCUGCAGCCUCUACGUUAGAAGGACACACGUCAAGUACAGAACUAAGCCAACCUCGGCGUGAGCUUUGGUGGCGAAUGGUAUGAACUUUGAGCUUAUUCACUACAGAAGUGAUACUUCCUAGCUGUUGAGUUAGCAGGGGCCGCUGUAGAAGGGGGCUAGGAAAGGAUGGACGACGGAUCCAGUCUAACAAACAGACGAAGAUACCACCACGUAUCCAAUUUACCACCAGAGACAUUCUUCCGAGGACAGGAAGAUCUGUUGGCCAACCCGGCCAGCAUCUACGACCAAUCUACCGAAGCGCAGCUCAGAUCCUUCCCGGUUUUGACCGUACCUUGCCCCACCUCCACUGGAUUAUUGACCCCUGCCUGCCAUGACCCUGAGAUUACCUGCCGUUCCGGACCUUUUGCACCCUCUCUGGAUUACUGACCUCUGCCUGCCUUUGAUCUGUUGUUUGCCUGUCCCUGUACUAGAAAAACAACGUUUGUUUCUUUGACACUGUCUGCAUCUGGGUCAUACCUGAAAACUGGUAUGACCCAAUUGAGAUGGUUUGGGAUGAGUUGGACCGCAGAGUGAAGGAAAAGCAGCCAACAAGCACUCAGCAUAUGUGGGAACUCCUUCACGACUGUUGGAAAAGCAUCCCUCAUGGAGCUGGUUGAGCGAAUGCCAAGAGCAUGCAAAGCUGUCAUCUAGGCAAAUGGUGGCUACUUUGAAGAAUCUAAAAUUUAAAAUAUAUUUGAUUUGUUCAAUGUAAAAAAUAGUAAGAAUAAAG
This 2463-nucleotide long non-coding RNA is filed under the name Salmo salar (Atlantic salmon). RNAcentral describes it as "lncRNA (ENSSSAG00000108269.1)". The record is from RNAcentral. Lineage: Eukaryota; Metazoa; Chordata; Actinopteri; Salmoniformes; Salmonidae.